AAUAGUUACACGAGAAGGUAAUUCAAAAUUAGGUAAGGCUUUUGACUAGAUAUUUAAACAAUGUCUAGCAAUAGUUACACGAGAAGGUAAUUCAAAAUUAGGUAAGGCUUUUGACAUUAAUUUCUUGAAUCCUUCUCCCUCAACAACUCUAAACGGUUGCUCAUCAAUUAUUACAAAUUCGGCAAUAGCUCUCCUAAUAUCCUCCACAUUAUACACCACCCUCUUAGUAGAACCCGAACAUCCUUCUAGCCACCCUUCUUUAAUAGGUUUUAAUGUUGAUUGCCUCUUAUCAAUUAUUUUAAAUGGGGAAUUGUGGCAUGUCUCAUUUAAAUGUGUCCAUAAUGUAGUAGUCCCAUUCUUGCUCUCAGAAGCAAAGGUUUUAGGACAAUAAUGACAUUUUGCUCUACAUUUACCUCCUUUAGCAGUAAACUUGGAGAAAUGAUUCCAGAUCUGAGAAGUCUCUCUGCCAGUAUUUNNN
This 478-nucleotide long non-coding RNA is filed under the name Nicotiana benthamiana. RNAcentral's name for it is "long non-coding RNA (NBEN_LNC013932)". The record is from RNAcentral. Lineage: Eukaryota; Viridiplantae; Streptophyta; Magnoliopsida; Solanales; Solanaceae.